CGUUCCCCUUCGGGGGACAGAGUGACAGGUGGUGCAUGGUUGUCGUCAGCUCGUGUCGUGAGAUGUUGGGUUAAGUCCCGCAACGAGCGCAACCCUUGAUCUUAGUUGCCAGCAUUCAGUUGGGCACUCUAAGGUGACUGCCGGUGACAAACCGGAGGAAGGUGGGGAUGACGUCAAAUCAUCAUGCCCCUUAUGACCUGGGCUACACACGUGCUACAAUGGAUGGAACAAAGGGCAGCGAAGCCGCGAGGUGAAGCCAAUCCCAUAAAACCAUUCUCAGUUCGGAUUGCAGGCUGCAACUCGCCUGCAUGAAGCCGGAAUCGCUAGUAAUCGCGGAUCAGCAUGCCGCGGUGAAUACGUUCCCGGGCCUUGUACACACCGCCCGUCACACCACGAGAGUUUGUAACACCCGAAGUCGGUGGGGUAACUAGGGGUAACCUUGGAGCCAGCCGCCUAAGGUGGGACAGAUGAUUGGGGUGAAGUCGUAACAAGGUAGCCGUAUCGGAAGGUGCGGCUGGAUCACCUCCUUU
This 530-nucleotide ribosomal RNA is filed under the name Mesobacillus stamsii. RNAcentral describes it as "bacterial SSU rRNA". It matches the Rfam family "Bacterial small subunit ribosomal RNA", at positions 1011 to 1533 of the family's 1533-position model. Lineage: Bacteria; Bacillati; Bacillota; Bacilli; Caryophanales; Bacillaceae. The record is from RNAcentral.